UACGAAGGGGCUAGCGUUGUUCGGAAUUACUGGGCGUAAAGCGCACGUAGGCGGAUUGUUUAGUGAGGGGUGAAAUCCCAGGGCUCAACCCUGGAACUGCCUCUCAUACUGGCAAUCUCGAGUUCGAGAGAGGUGAGUGGAAUUCCGAGUGUAGAGGUGAAAUUCGUAGAUAUUCGGAGGAACACCAGUGGCGAAGGCGGCUCACUGGCUCGAUACUGACGCUGAGGUGCGAAAGCGUGGGGAGCAAACAGGAUUAGAUACCCGGGUAGU
Molecule: ribosomal RNA, 270 nt
Filed under: uncultured prokaryote
Description: partial 16S ribosomal RNA
Rfam family: Bacterial small subunit ribosomal RNA
Source: RNAcentral